Molecule: transfer RNA, 77 nt
Filed under: Povalibacter sp.
Lineage: Bacteria; Pseudomonadati; Pseudomonadota; Gammaproteobacteria; Steroidobacterales; Steroidobacteraceae
Also listed under: 13 other names
Description: tRNA-Arg
Rfam family: tRNA
About the family: Transfer RNA (tRNA) molecules are approximately 80 nucleotides in length. Their secondary structure includes four short double-helical elements and three loops (D, anti-codon, and T loops). Further hydrogen bonds mediate the characteristic L-shaped molecular structure. tRNAs have two regions of fundamental functional importance: the anti-codon, which is responsible for specific mRNA codon recognition, and the 3' end, to which the tRNAs corresponding amino acid is attached (by aminoacyl-tRNA synthetases). tRNAs cope with the degeneracy of the genetic code in two manners: having more than one tRNA (with a specific anti-codon) for a particular amino acid; and 'wobble' base-pairing, i.e. permitting non-standard base-pairing at the 3rd anti-codon position.
Source: RNAcentral
GCGCCCGUAGCUCAGUUGGAUAGAGCGUCUGGCUACGAACCAGAAGGUCGGGAGUUCGAAUCUCUCCGGGCGCACCA